ACGUAUUCUUCGGGUCGAGAGGGUCGGCCCUGCACCGGCGGAGACGCCGUGCUGCGGGCCCCCGAUCGUUCCCUUCCACACCAAACCCCUGUGCACCUUUGGGAAGGCGGAUCCCCUCUUCGGGGGGGCUGAAGCCGGCCCCUAUUCACAAACUCUUGAUGUAUAGAAUGACCGCGGACUCUGUCCGUCUAAACACAUAA
RNAcentral lists this unclassified non-coding RNA (200 nucleotides) under uncultured Trechisporales. RNAcentral describes it as "sequence contains ITS1". The record is from RNAcentral. Lineage: Eukaryota; Fungi; Basidiomycota; Agaricomycetes; Trechisporales.